UAGGGAAUCUUCGGCAAUGGGGGGAACCCUGACCGAGCAACGCUGCGUGAGUGAAGAAGGUUUUCGGAUCGUAAAGCUCUGUUGUUAAGGAAGAACGAGUGUGAGAAUGGAAAGUUCAUACUGUGACGGUACUUAACCAGAAAGGGACGGCUAACUACGUGCCAGCAGCCGCGGUAAUACGUAGGUCCCGAGCGUUGUCCGGAUUUAUUGGGCGUAAAGCGAGCGCAGGCGGUUAGAUAAGUCUGAAGUUAAAGGCAGUGGCUCAACCAUUGUAGGCUUUGGAAACUGUUUAACUUGAGUGCAGAAGGGGAGAGUGGAAUUCCAUGUGUAGCGAUGAAAUGCGUAGAUAUAUGGAGGAACACCGGUGGCGAAAGCGGCUCUCUGGUCUGUAACUGACGCUGAGGCUCGAAAGCGUGGGGAGCGAACAGG
RNAcentral lists this ribosomal RNA (429 nucleotides) under Bacteroidota bacterium. Its description in RNAcentral is "Bacteroidetes bacterium partial 16S ribosomal RNA". It matches the Rfam family "Bacterial small subunit ribosomal RNA", at positions 355 to 776 of the family's 1533-position model. Lineage: Bacteria; Pseudomonadati; Bacteroidota. The record is from RNAcentral.